UAAAAUAUUAUAAUUUGAAAAUUAAAAAACAAAAGAAUUUGGCGGUGUUUCAUUUUAUUAGGGGAUCUUGCGAUUUAAUUCGAUAGCCCACGAUUUAUUUUUCCUUAAAUUGAAAUUAUCAAUUGAUGUAUUGCCGUAUAGUAGUAUUUAAAAAAAUAAUUAUAAUAUUUAUAUAUAAGUAUAUUAAAUACAGGUCAAAGUAUUGUUAAUAUUAAGGUAUUGUUGAGAUACUUUUAUUUAUAGAUAUAUAUAAAUGUUAGAAUAUAAACAUUUGUAAUAAAGGACUUAAUAGUAAUUAAAUUAAAUAAAUUUAAUGAAUAAAAACUUGAAACAAGU
RNAcentral lists this ribosomal RNA (336 nucleotides) under Chtonobdella bilineata. RNAcentral describes it as "partial 12S ribosomal RNA". Lineage: Eukaryota; Metazoa; Annelida; Clitellata; Hirudinida; Haemadipsidae. The record is from RNAcentral.